This 1189-nucleotide long non-coding RNA is filed under the name Bos indicus x Bos taurus (hybrid cattle). Its description in RNAcentral is "lncRNA (ENSBIXG00000009376.1)". The record is from RNAcentral. Lineage: Eukaryota; Metazoa; Chordata; Mammalia; Artiodactyla; Bovidae.
GUCAAAGUGGAAUUUGUCCAUGUCGUUUAUUUAAGGUUUUACAAGGCCCUGCAAAGAGUCCUCCCCUGAGUCUGGACAAGAAGAGGGUUUAGUAACAACGUGGUGAGACCUAUGAGGAAACCAAGCAACUGGCCUUGAUGCUCCAAAAAUGUCAGGUCUUGGGAAUUCCCUGGCGGGCCAGUGGUUCAGACUCUGGGCUUCCACAGCAGGGGCCAUGGGUUCCAUCCCUGGUCAGGGAACUAUAAUUCCCCCAUGCCUCGUGGGGCAGCCAAAAAAAAAAAAAAAAAAAGUAAGGUCCUAAAAGACACAGGAGGGCUGAGGGUCUGCCCUGAUUAAAGAGGAUUGUCCUACUGAAUAGCACAGGAAACUCUGCUCAGUGUUAUGUGCCAGGCUGGGUGGCAGGAAGGUUUGGAAGAGAAUGGAUUCAUGUAUAUGGAUGACUGAGUCUUUUGCUGUCCACCUGUAACUAUCACACAUUUUUAAUCAGCUAUUUUCCAAUAUAAAAUAAAAAGUUAAAAAAUAAAAAAAUUUUAAAAGUGUGUAUUUUGCUCUCCGCGCCCGCUUGCGCCCAGACCCCAUCGGCUGGGCCUUCUGGGUCGGCGGUGCGGGUGUAUCGGGCUCAUUGCAUGGAACGAAGGCUAGUGAAGGCCCUGUGGCGGCCUCCAUGCCCAAGACCUCCAGGCCUAGAGAGGUGGAGCUUCGAGAGGCUGAAGAGAGAUUCUCCCAGCAGAGCCGCUGGGCUGCGGGGAUUCCCUUCCUAACAGGGCCAGCAGGAUGUGGGGCCAUGUUGAAGCUGGAAUGACCCCAGAGGCUAAGGAGAAAGCACUGCCUUCUGAAGACUCUGUCCUUCUUCAGGAAGAGGAGGAAAUGCCCAGAUUACAGGAGACACAGCUUCGACCCCUCGUCUGGGAAGAUCCUACGUGCGGCGGAGCAACCAAGGCUGUGCACCACAACUAUUGAGCCUGUGCUCUAGAGCCUGGGAACUGCAACUAUUGCACCUACUAAAGCCCAUGAGCCCUAGAGCCUGUGCUCUGCAACAAGAGAAGCCUCUACAGUGAGAAGUCUGCGCACUGCAACUAGACAAGAGCCUACGUGCAGCAACGAAGACCCAGCACAGCCAAAACUAAAUACAAUUAUAUUAAAAAAUAAUAAUAAUAAAAUAAAAGUGUGUAUUUUACUGCUGAAAGAA